GUGCCCGUAGCUCAGCUGGAUAGAGCAUUUGACUACGAAUCAAAAGGUCGGGAGUUCGAAUCUCUCCGGGCACGCCA
Molecule: transfer RNA, 77 nt
Filed under: Paenibacillus pasadenensis
Lineage: Bacteria; Bacillati; Bacillota; Bacilli; Caryophanales; Paenibacillaceae
Also listed under: 11 other names
Description: tRNA-Arg
Rfam family: tRNA
About the family: Transfer RNA (tRNA) molecules are approximately 80 nucleotides in length. Their secondary structure includes four short double-helical elements and three loops (D, anti-codon, and T loops).
Source: RNAcentral